ACAAGCGGUGGAGUAUGUGGUUUAAUUCGAUGCAACGCGAAGAACCUUACCUGGUCUUGACAUCCCGGAGACCCUUAGGAACUAGGGGUGCUUCCAUCUGGAAGAAUCUGGAGACAGGUGCUGCAUGGCUGUCGUCAGCUCGUGUCGUGAGAUGUUGGGUUAAGUCCCGCAACGAGCGCAACCCUUGCCUUUAGUUGCCAGCAGUUCGGCUGGGCACUCUAAAGGGACUGCCGGUGUUAAGCCGGAGGAAGUGGGGAUGACGUCAAGUCCUCAUGGCCUUUAUGACCAGGGCUACACACGUACUACAAUGGCCGAUACAAAGGGCAGCGACACUGCGAGGUGAAGCCAAUCCCGUAAAAUCGGUCUCAGUCCGGAUUGGAGUCUGCAACUCGACUCCAUGAAGUUGGAAUCGCUAGUAAUCGUGGAUCAGCAUGCCACGGUGAAUACGUUCCCGGGCCUU
Molecule: ribosomal RNA, 460 nt
Filed under: uncultured Desulfobulbus sp.
Lineage: Bacteria; Pseudomonadati; Thermodesulfobacteriota; Desulfobulbia; Desulfobulbales; Desulfobulbaceae
Description: bacterial SSU rRNA
Rfam family: Bacterial small subunit ribosomal RNA
Source: RNAcentral